AGUGAACGCUGGCGGUAGGCCUAACACAUGCAAGUCGAACGGCAGCACAGUAAGAGCUUGCUCCUACGGGUGGCGAGUGGCGGACGGGUGAGGAAUACAUCGGAAUCUACUUUUUCGUGGGGGAUAACGUAGGGAAACUUACGCUAAUACCGCAUACGACCUACGGGUUAAAGCAGGGGAUCUUCGGACCUUUCGCGAUUCAAUUAGCCGAUGUCGGAUUAGCUAGUUGGCGGGGUAAAGGCCCACCAAGGCAACGAUACGUAGCUGGUCUGAGAGGAUGAUCAGCCACACUGGAACUGAGACACGGUCCAGACUCCUACGGGAGGCAGCAGUGGGGAAUAUUGGACAAUGGGCGCAAGCCUGAUCCAGCCAUACCGCGUGGGUGAAGAAGGUCUUCGGGUUGUAAAGCCCUUUUGUUGGGAAAGAAAAGCAGCAGGUGAAUACCCCGCUGUUCUGACGGUACCCAAAGAAUAAGCACCGGCUAACUUCGUG
This 492-nucleotide ribosomal RNA is filed under the name uncultured bacterium. RNAcentral describes it as "partial 16S ribosomal RNA". It matches the Rfam family "Bacterial small subunit ribosomal RNA", at positions 29 to 507 of the family's 1533-position model. The record is from RNAcentral.